Long non-coding RNA from Homo sapiens (human), 566 nucleotides. Ensembl annotates it as long intergenic non-protein coding RNA 240. The record is from Ensembl. Lineage: Eukaryota; Metazoa; Chordata; Mammalia; Primates; Hominidae.
UCCACACCCUUUUUGUGGGUGGAGAGUUUGUCUUCACUUGUGGUAGACUGGAUUCCUGAAAAUGACUGAAACAGUAUCCCUCGUUCCCUUCUGCAAUGUGAGCUUGGCACCUCCUCAGCUAGAAGUAGAGUCUGUUUCCCUUCACCUUGAAUUUGGUUUGGGUUUGUAACUACUGUGAGCAAUGGAAUGCAGUAAAAAUAACAUUUUGUGAUUUCUCAGCCCAGGCAGUAAGAAAACAUAUCAGCUUCCACUUUUACCUUUAAGGAGAAGCCAGCUCCCAUGUUAAGAAGUUCAAAUACCUAGAGACUGCGAUGGUUUGCAGAGGCUCAAGCUAACCACAUGGAAAGACAUGGAGAGAUAUUCCUUGCCAACCCUCAACUACUCCAACUAUUCUAAGACAUCAAACCUGUCACCCACCGGUCUGAAGAGGAGGAUGAGAGACAAAGAAAAAAGUUGUCUGGCUGCCUCUGCUGUCUACAGAUUGAAGAAGAUCCAUCCAGCUGAGCCCAGCCUAGACCAGCUGACUUCUCCAAUAAGCCUGUAUGAAAUAAAUGCUUAUUGUUAUG